RNAcentral lists this small nuclear RNA (146 nucleotides) under Ictidomys tridecemlineatus (thirteen-lined ground squirrel). RNAcentral's name for it is "Spermophilus tridecemlineatus (thirteen-lined ground squirrel) U2 spliceosomal RNA". It matches the Rfam family "U2 spliceosomal RNA". From Rfam's summary of the family: U2 is a small nuclear RNA (snRNA) component of the spliceosome (involved in pre-mRNA splicing). Complementary binding between U2 snRNA (in an area lying towards the 5' end but 3' to hairpin I) and the branchpoint sequence (BPS) of the intron results the bulging out of an unpaired adenosine, on the BPS, which initiates a nucleophilic attack at the intronic 5' splice site, thus starting the first of two transesterification reactions that mediate splicing. The record is from Rfam by way of RNAcentral. Lineage: Eukaryota; Metazoa; Chordata; Mammalia; Rodentia; Sciuridae.
AUCGCUUCUCGGCCUUUUGGCUAAGAUCAAGUGUAGUAUUUUUGGGGAAAAAGGCAUACUGGAGAUAGAAACCAAGGACACUUUACCAGUGAGUUAUAUCCAUAACCCUUUAAAAAAAUUUUAUUUUAUUUUUUUAAAUAUUUAUU